Molecule: ribosomal RNA, 253 nt
Filed under: uncultured bacterium
Lineage: Bacteria
Description: partial 16S ribosomal RNA
Rfam family: Bacterial small subunit ribosomal RNA
Source: RNAcentral
UACAGAGGGGGCAAGCGUUGUUCGGAAUUACUGGGCGUAAAGGGCUCGUAGGCGGCCAACUAAGUCGGACGUGAAAUCCCCAGGCUCAACCUGGGAACUGCGUCCGAUACUGGAUGGCUUGAAUUCGGGAGAGGGAUGCAGAAUUCCAGGUGUAGCGGUGAAAUGCGUAGAUAUCUGGAGGAACACCGGUGGUGUAGACGGCUCACUGGACCGUAACUGACGCUGAGACACGAAAGCGUGGGUAGCAAACAGG